Molecule: ribosomal RNA, 253 nt
Filed under: uncultured bacterium
Lineage: Bacteria
Description: partial 16S ribosomal RNA
Rfam family: Bacterial small subunit ribosomal RNA
Source: RNAcentral
UACGGAGGGUGCAAGCGUUGUCCGGAUUUAUUGGGUUUAAAGGGUGCGUAGGUGGUCUUAUAAGUCAGUGGUGAAAGCCCGCAGCUCAACUGCGGAAUUGCCAUUGAUACUGUAAGACUUGAGUACAGACGAGGUAGGCGGAAUUUAUGGUGUAGCGGUGAAAUGCAUAGAUACCAUAAAGAACACCUAUAGCGAAGGCAGCUUACUAGACUGUAACUGACACUGAGGCACGAAAGCGUGGGGAGCGAACAGG